ACUGGGGAUACAGGCUACAGUUGACUAGAAGUUUGGCUUCUACAUCACUAACUAUAUUAUAGAAAAUAUAUUUAAUAUUUAUUAUGUAAAUAGAAUGAUAUUUUUUCAUAAACAAGUUUGGCAAAACCUGUUGGACAUGGGCUCACCUUUUCUAUAUCAUUUGGUCAAAAGAGAGAUUUAAGUGUUCAAUGGACCCAUUGUCUUCACCAAAUCAGCCCAUUAAACGUCAAAGGCAAAACAGUAAUUUACAGAAGGAGUAGAAGAAUCUUUAGGUCAGAAAAUUUGUCCUAUAAAUAAAGCACUAUUUGCGAAAUAGUGAUACACAAGUUAAUUCCCAGAGAAUCAGGACAAUAUUCAUACUAAAAAACCUUGUCUUUCGGUUCGUUUUGUUCUCGGUUCGUUUUUGUUCUCGGUUCGUUUUGUUCUCAAUUCGAUUCAUAUUACGUUGCCGAUCGAUAGAAAUUACUUGUAAUUAUUUGAUCAACCUGUUGUUUACCGUUUUCAUUCGUCAUCUAAUAAAAAUUACUUUGUUGUCCCUGACAAUCCCUUACUUAUUCGUUGUUACAACUUCGGUACAAACAAAACAUCACCAAAGAAAAAAUACUAUCUUUGCAAGAAUUGAUGUAAAUCUCUAUAAACGGACCUCGCUAAGUCUCGUAGUAUGCUUUGUAUUUUAUCUAUGGAGAAUCUACGAAUUGAUGCCGGAGAAGAUAUCAACUAACAACAUCAAGAGCAUUAGACGA
Molecule: small RNA, 743 nt
Filed under: Arabidopsis thaliana (thale cress)
Lineage: Eukaryota; Viridiplantae; Streptophyta; Magnoliopsida; Brassicales; Brassicaceae
Description: ATSL100910
Source: RNAcentral